UUGGAGGGCAAGUCUGGUGCCAGCAGCCGCGGUAAUUCCAGCUCCAAUAGCGUAUAUUGAAGUUGUUGCAGUUAAAAAGCUCGUAGUUGAAUUUCGGGAUUAAUUUAUUGGUCGUGCUAUUGUACGUACUGGUAUUAUUGAUUCCUACCUUCUGACGAACCAUGAUGUCAUUAAUUUGGUGUCAUGGGGAAUCAGGACUGUUACUUUGAAAAAAUUAGAGUGUUUAAAGCAGGCUCACGCUUGAAUACAUUAGCAUGGAAUAACGAAAUAGGACGUUUGAUUCUAUUUUGUUGGUUUCUAGGAUCGACGUAAUGAUUAAUAGGGAUAGUUGGGGGCAUAAGUAUUCAAUUGUCAGAGGUGAAAUUCUUGGAUUUAUUGAAGACUAACUACUGCGAAAGCAUUUGCCAAGGAUGUUUUCAUUAAUCAAGAACGAAAGUUAGGGGAUCGAAGACGAUCAGAUACCGUCGUAGUCUUAACCAUAAACUAUGCCGACUAGGGAUCGGAUGAUGUUAAUUUUUUAAUGACUCAUUCGGCGCCUUACGGGAAAC
Molecule: ribosomal RNA, 548 nt
Filed under: uncultured Glomus
Lineage: Eukaryota; Fungi; Glomeromycota; Glomeromycetes; Glomerales; Glomeraceae
Description: SSU rRNA
Rfam family: Eukaryotic small subunit ribosomal RNA
Source: RNAcentral